This 497-nucleotide ribosomal RNA is filed under the name uncultured bacterium. Its description in RNAcentral is "partial 16S ribosomal RNA". It matches the Rfam family "Bacterial small subunit ribosomal RNA", at positions 28 to 507 of the family's 1533-position model. The record is from RNAcentral.
GAUGAACGCUGGCGGCGUGCCUAAUACAUGCCAGUCGAGCGAACGGACGAGAAGCUUGCUUCUCUGAUGUUAGCGGCGGACGGGUGAGUAACACGUGGAUAACCUACCUAUAAGACUGGGAUAACUUCGGGAAACCGGAGCUAAUACCGAAUAAUAUUUUGAACCGCAUGGUUCAAAAGUGAAAGACGGUCUUGCUGUCACUUAUAGAUGGAUCCGCGCUGCAUUAGCUAGUUGGUAAGGUAACGGCUUACCAAGGCAACGAUGCAUAGCCGACCUGAGAGGGUGAUCGGCCACACUGGAACUGAGACACGGUCCAGACUCCUACGGGAGGCAGCAGUAGGGAAUCUUCCGCAAUGGGCGAAAGCCUGACGGAGCAACGCCGCGUGAGUGAUGAAGGUCUUCGGAUCGUAAAACUCUGUUAUUAGGGAAGAACAUAUGUGUAAGUAACUGUGCACAUCUUGACGGUACCUAAUCAGAAAGCCACGGCUAACUACGUG